UUUUGUAUAAUGGGUCAGCGACUUAUAUUCUGUAGCAAGGUUAACCGUAUAGGGGAGCCGGAGGGAAACCGAGUCUUAAUUGGGCGUUAAGUUGCAGGGUAUAGACCCGAAACCCGGUGAUCUAGCCAUGGGCAGGUUGAAGGUUGGGUAACACUAACUGGAGGACCGAACCGACUAAUGUUGAAAAAUUAGCGGAUGACCUGUGGCUGGGGGUGAAAGGCCAAUCAAACCGGGAGAUAGCUGGUUCUCCCCGAAAGCUAUUUAGGUAGCGCCUCGUGAAUUCAUCUCCGGGGGUAGAGCACUGUUUCGGCUAGGGGGCCAUCCCGGCUUACCAACCCGAUGCAAACUGCGAAUACCGGAGAAUGUUAUCACGGGAGACACACGGCGGGUGCUAACGUCCGUCGUGAAGAGGGAAACAACCCAGACCGCCAGCUAAGGUCCCAAAGUCAUGGUUAAGUGGGAAACGAUGUGGGAAGGCCCAGACAGCCAGGAUGUUGGCUUAGAAGCAGCCAUCAUUUAAAGAAAGCGUAAUAGCUCACUGGUCGAGUCGGCCUGCGCGGAAGAUGUAACGGGGCUAAACCAUGCACCGAAGCUGCGGCAGCGACACUGUGUGUUGUUGGGUAGGGGAGCGUUCUGUAAGCCUGUGAAGGUGUGUCGUGAGGCAUGCUGGAGGUAUCAGAAGUGCGAAUGCUGACAUAAGUAACGAUAAAGCGGGUGAAAAGCCCGCUCGCCGGAAGACCAAGGGUUCCUGUCCAACGUUAAUCGGGGCAGGGUGAGUCGACCCCUAAGGCGAGGCCGAAAGGCGUAGUCGAUGGGAAACGGGUUAAUAUUCCCGUACUUGGUGUUACUGCGAAGGGGGGACGGAGAAGGCUAUGUUGGCCGGGCGACGGUUGUCCCGGUUUAAGCGUGUAGGUGUGUGUUCCAGGUAAAUCCGGUUCACUUUAACACUGAGGCGUGACGACGAGGCACUACGGUGCUGAAGCAACAAAUGCCCUGCUUCCAGGAAAAGCCUCUAAGCAUCAGGUAACAUCAAAUCGUACCCCAAACCGACACAGGUGGUCAGGUAGAGAAUACCAAGGCGCUUGAGAGAACUCGGGUGAAGGAACUAGGCAAAAUGGUGCCGUAACUUCGGGAGAAGGCACGCUGACACGUAGGUGAAGUGAUUUACUCAUGGAGCUGAAGUCAGUCGAAGAUACCAGCUGGCUGCAACUGUUUAUUAAAAACACAGCACUGUGCAAACACGAAAGUGGACGUAUACGGUGUGACGCCUGCCCGGUGCCGGAAGGUUAAUUGAUGGGGUCAGCGCAAGCGAAGCUCCUGAUCGAAGCCCCGGUAAACGGCGGCCGUAACUAUAACGGUCCUAAGGUAGCGAAAUUCCUUGUCGGGUAAGUUCCGACCUGCACGAAUGGCGUAAUGAUGGCCAGGCUGUCUCCACCCGAGACUCAGUGAAAUUGAACUCGCUGUGAAGAUGCAGUGUACCCGCGGCAAGACGGAAAGACCCCGUGAACCUUUACUAUAGCUUGACACUGAACAUUGAGCCUUGAUGUGUAGGAUAGGUGGGAGGCUUUGAAGCGUGGACGCCAGUCUGCGUGGAGCCGACCUUGAAAUACCACCCUUUAAUGUUUGAUGUUCUAACGUGGACCCGUGAUCCGGGUUGCGGACAGUGUCUGGUGGGUAGUUUGACUGGGGCGGUCUCCUCCUAAAGAGUAACGGAGGAGCACGAAGGUUGGCUAAUCCUGGUCGGACAUCAGGAGGUUAGUGCAAUGGCAUAAGCCAGCUUGACUGCGAGCGUGACGGCGCGAGCAGGUGCGAAAGCAGGUCAUAGUGAUCCGGUGGUUCUGAAUGGAAGGGCCAUCGCUCAACGGAUAAAAGGUACUCCGGGGAUAACAGGCUGAUACCGCCCAAGAGUUCAUAUCGACGGCGGUGUUUGGCACCUCGAUGUCGGCUCAUCACAUCCUGGGGCUGAAGUAGGUCCCAAGGGUAUGGCUGUUCGCCAUUUAAAGUGGUACGCGAGCUGGGUUUAGAACGUCGUGAGACAGUUCGGUCCCUAUCUGCCGUGGGCGCUGGAGAACUGAGGGGGGCUGCUCCUAGUACGAGAGGACCGGAGUGGACGCAUCACUGGUGUUCGGGUUGUCAUGCCAAUGGC
RNAcentral lists this ribosomal RNA (2146 nucleotides) under Salmonella enterica subsp. enterica serovar Stanley. Its description in RNAcentral is "partial 23S ribosomal RNA". It matches the Rfam family "Bacterial large subunit ribosomal RNA", at positions 606 to 2736 of the family's 2925-position model. The record is from RNAcentral. Lineage: Bacteria; Pseudomonadati; Pseudomonadota; Gammaproteobacteria; Enterobacterales; Enterobacteriaceae.